UUUUUUUUUUUUUUUUUUGUCUUUUGUCUUUUUUUUUGUUGUUGUUGUUGUUGCUAGUUCUUGGGCCGCUCCCGCGGCAUCUGGAGUGGCCCUAGAAAAGGGAAAAAGACAAUAAAUAAAUAGAUAAAUAACUUCAGUGACUGAAAAAAAGAGUAGCUUAUCGUUUUAAGGAAAUGAAACAUCAUGGCUCCUAGCACAACACUAAAGUUAACAUGAGGAGUUUCCAUUGUGGUGCAGCGGAAACGAAUCCGACUAGUAUCCAUGAGGACAUGGGUUCUAUCCUUACCCUGCUCAGUGGGUUAAGGAUCUGGUAUUGCUGUGGCUGUGAUGUAGGCCAGCAGCUGCAUCUCCGAUUCAACCCCUAGCCUGAGAACUUCCAUAUGCAGCGUGGGUGCGCCCUAAAAAGCAACAAAAAAUAAAAUAAAAUUAACAUGAAAUUAAACUUUUAUUAACAAAGGUAUUAAUUACAGAUACCAUUACUUUUAGAAUUUAUGAGUAUGAAAGGUAGGAAAUGUUUCCAUAUUCAUGAAUGUAGCCCCACAGCAAUAUUUAUAAUGAAAUAAAAAACACUAUUUUUAGGAUAACCCAAUGAUCCUUUAAUCAUCACAAAAACUUUUGGAACCCCCAGUCUAAAAAAAAAUCCAAACUGAAGCAAAUGUAUAUGAUAGAUGUUAUAAAUGUUUUUGAAAAUGAAGUUAUGACUCAGAAGGGCAUGGAUUUCUCCUCUGAAAUGUUGCAAGCCUAAUGCGAAUGAUUUGUUUGGUCACUUCACAUCAGAAAUUUCCUAAUUUUCCACUGUGAAAAAGUUUUCAAUCUUUAAACAAGACUACUGCUAAUACAUCUUAAAAUUCCAAGACUAAAAGGAAUUUCUUCCAAAUUAAAUUUCUAGUUUAAAAAGAGAAGCAAGCUGUAGUCUCGCUUUAUACGUUUCCAUGUAUAAUGUCAAUAUACGUGGAAAAUGGGAUUUAAAAUCAACACCAUACAAAAUCAUGAAAUCCGAGACCCCAGAAAUGAAAAUAUUUACAUUCUUAUCUAUCCUUUAUUGAAAUUGACAAAGUUUUAAGUAAGAAUGUCAUAAUCUUUUAACAGAUCAUAAAACUGACAUGAUGGCAAAAAUCUUUUCAGUGGGAGUCAAUUUACUCUGCCACAGGAAGGCAAAAAUCACCACAUUAAAAUCACAUGCUAAUUGCCAAUCCUGGCUUUGCAGUCCCCAAAUCUUGAAAACGAAAUUAUUGCAGUUCACUCUGGGACUGUCUACAUGUACAUUUUUAGCAUCAAAUAACAUUUUUUAGAGAAGACAAAAUUUCAAUUUUACUAACAAAAGAGUGGUACAAUUUCAAAAGAUUGUACAACUUUCAAAAAGUAGAGUAAUGACCUGCCUACUCUUGUAUUUACAUUUUGAAAGUAAACAGUAUCAGAUGCUUCAGGGAAUAACAUCCUAUAUGAUCACUUGUCCAUUUAUUUUUACAUAGGAAAUCUUCAAAAAGCAGGUAGAGAUAAGAACUCGACUUGAAAUCUCAAACCAUUUAAUCCAAAAUUUCAAAUCAUUUAAUCUAAAAUUAAGAGUAGCCACAAAAAACCUAGGAGAGCAUUCAAGAAGCAAAGUUAGAAAUCACCCUCUCUGAAACUGGGCAACGUUAGUAAGAAAAAAGUUGGUAAUUAUUUUGUCAUCAAUUUGUUGAUCCCUUCCUUAUGGCCUGUCUCAGGGGGUUAAGGAUCUGGCAUUGCUGUGACACCAACCAUACUGGAGAAUCUGUGUACCCAUGUGUUUUCCCCACCAGAUUUAAGGUGAGGAGCUGUGUCUCAUUCAUUCAUGCCCACGUUCUUCACACCAAGUCCAGUGCAUUAUACACAGUAGAGAAAGAAAAAAGGUUGAAUAAUUUAAGGUAAUACAUGUAUUCCUAACUGGAGAUAAUCAGUUAUGCUCCAAUUCAUGUAAGGACAUUCAUAAUUUCAUUUUAGCUAAUAAGCAGUGAGUAAUUUGAUGGGUUUUUUUUAAUCCACAAAGCUAUGAAAUGGAUUUUAAGCUCUAAAUAACAUAGUUAUAUUUUAAACAUAUUUAAAAGAAAUACAUAGUGAAACAUUUAAAAAACACUCUCACAAAUAAAGUUGAAGGGAGUUCCCAUCAUGGCUCAGCGGAAACAAAUCUGACUAGCAUCCAUGAGGACGCAGUUUCCAUCCCUGGGCCUGCUCAGUGGGUUAAGAAUCUGGCGUUGCCAUGAGCCUUGGUUGUAGGUCGCAGAUUCAGCUCGGUUCUUGCUUUGCUGUGGCUGUGGUGUAGGCCAGCAGCUAUAGCUCUGAUUCAACCCCUAGCCUGGAAACCUCCAUAAGCUACAGGUGCAGCCCUAAAUAGACAAAAAAUAAAAAUAAUAAUAAAGUAGAAAAUGAUUGACUUCACUGUGUAUAAAAUGGAACCAGACGGUGUUGGUAUGGUGAAUGUAAAGUGACCAGGCACAGAUGUUGUAAAAUGACAUGACAGGAACCUUAUAGAGUGAAUUAAAAGAGACCCUGGAAUUCUGAUUGGAAAAGUCUGGCUGGCAAAUAGGAGGCUUAAUUAAUGUAAAGUACUGCCAUCUCCAUUCAGACAGGGUUUGAGAAGGUGGGGAGUUUCCCAUCCCUCGGGAACAAUGACUUCUACCCCAAUCUACAUGGUACGGCUGGAAACAGGUACAGAACUGAUUCAGCCCAGCGACUCACCCUCCACUGCCCAAAGGAAAUAACGUGAUACCAAGGAGAGAGGGCCCUCUCUGGACCCCCAACAAUCUCAGUUCCAUCAUCUCUAAAGCUCUAGUCCAUAGCAAAAGUAGGCAAAUUAGGAGUUCCCAUUGUGGCUCAGUGGUUAACAAACCCAAGGAGUAUCCAUGAGGACGACAGUUCGAUCCCUGGUGGGUUAAGGAUCUUGCAUUGCCACGAGCUGUGGUGUAGGUAACAGACGUAGCUCAGAUCCCACCUUGCUGCUGCUGUGGCUGUGGCUGUGGUGUAGGCCAGCAGCUACAGCUCCGAUUUGACCCCUAGCCUGGGAA
Molecule: long non-coding RNA, 3023 nt
Filed under: Sus scrofa (pig)
Lineage: Eukaryota; Metazoa; Chordata; Mammalia; Artiodactyla; Suidae
Description: lncRNA (ENSSSCG00015030881.1)
Source: RNAcentral